GUUGGACCCUUGUGUUGGGGAUCUUGUACUGUCAGCUUGCAGCCACAAGGGGGUGCCUGUUUGCUGUGAAUGACUUAAAUUUUUCAGGCCCCGCAAAGAAAGAUAAGUUCUUCCGGAAAAUAGGCCUUAAGAUUUUCCCUCAGUGCUUUCCGUUCUAUUGAAUUUAAUGGUGACGUCCGUUCAGUUGUUCAGUAAACAUUUCCUGAGUACCCCCAUGUCGAAUCCAGUGUGCUAGGCACUGUGGGUAGGGAAGAAAUGAGAUGUUUUCCAGGCUUGUGACUCUCCGGCCCCGGCAGGAAAGGUCUGCAGACGUACAGGGAGUUUCCCGCGUCCCUAAGUAUGACUGUCAUACCUGCCAAUAGACGGGCUCCCCUUCCAGCAACAGGACGAGUCAGGGACUCCCUCACCCACCCCCUUGGUCCUCUGCCCAGCGCACUGGUUGGCUGUUCAGAGAGUAACACCUGGAAGCCGCUGUGCAAUAAUCAGUGUGUCUCCUAACCACACUGUUCGUGUUCUGGGUCGUGGAUACGGGCACCUGGCUGCCUGGAGACACAUGUCCCUGACCCCACAGUGACCACCGUGCAGUAGAGAAGAGGCCACCUCAGGCGCCUCUGUCUGAGUCUGCAGCCAGCCUCUCACGUGGCCAGGAGGCAGCCCAGAGGCCUUGUUCGAAGGUCUCCCCUGGCAUCUCUACUCCCAUCACUGGCCACCAUCAUCUUGAAAUGCCACAGGCCUGAAGACCAGCCAAAGCUUUCUUCUUCCAGGGCGUGUUUUUGCCUCGUGAAACCGAAGGACGCAACAAGGCCAAAGAUAAGAGGCUGCCAGCGUCUGUGUUACUUCAGGCCAGGGGGUCUCACGCUUGGCUCGACUGACGUUAGGGGGUGUGUAGUUCCUGGCUGUGGGCCUGUCCUGUGCACUGUUGGGUGUUGAGCAGCACCCCUGGCCUCCACCCGCAGAUGUCAGUAGCAUCCCCCAGUUGUGACAACUGAAAUGCCUCCAGACAUUUGAAAUGUCCCCUGGGGGACAAAAUCCGCCCUGGUUGAGGACCACCGCCCUAGGCCGUGGAUUUGGCUUCAGUCCUGGAAAUUGGAAAGGGACAGUGUACACGUGUGCAUUCGGCGCAUGGAGGGACUUCUAAGGGGCCCGUUGGCACGAGUCCUGGUUCUCUCCACCUUCUGCUGUGGGCUCUUCAUCAAGGACAGGAGAGGCCGAUCAGAUACAUCACUAGGUUGCUGUGGAUGACAGUCCGACCCCAGAAACGAAGAAUCCAGGCUUUCUAAAGCACAAGAGAAGAAAAAGGCUCAGCUCUCCUGUGUUCCUUAAUCCGUAUUUUUAUUGUGGUGCCUCAGCUCCUCAACGAAACAAAUAUUCGGAGAAGAGUAGCGUGAGUUCGACCAGUCUUGAGCCCGGGCCCUGCUGUAGGCUCUGUGAAAAGAGACAUGAACAAAGGGACAAGCGUCUCUGUCCUCCGGGCCCUGUGCUCUGGCAACGACAAGUAUGGCAUCGUGCAUAAUAUUAUAAAUUCUUGAGCCUGCUGCCGCCAAACGACUCUGCUCUUCCCCAGGCUCUGAUACAGCCCUGUGCUCAAUCCCCUUUACUUACCUUCACGUCCUAAGUUCUCAAAGCAGGGGACGCAGACAUCAAGCGGAGUUUUGUGCCCCUCGGAGCAUCUGAGGGGGACCCAGGUGCUCAUGGGUCCCGGGGCGCUGAGGCCUGAGGAGUGGGAGCCCUGUGCUUCUGUGUGUGACCACCGGCCCCGAAGCUGUGUCUGGGCCGGCCUAGGGGGUGGGCUGGGGGACGUUUGCAUGCCCUCCUGGAAUGCGUGCACUCGGGACUCGCAACACUUGGGCCCAAGACAUAAUUCUGGGACAAUAUUGGAGACGCUUUUGCAAAGUAUCCACUGCUCCUUUUUUAGCAUCUGAAAGACCUUGUCUCCUGG
RNAcentral lists this long non-coding RNA (1939 nucleotides) under Equus caballus (horse). Its description in RNAcentral is "lncRNA (ENSECAG00000047210.1)". The record is from RNAcentral. Lineage: Eukaryota; Metazoa; Chordata; Mammalia; Perissodactyla; Equidae.